UUCGCAAUGCCCGAAAGGGUGACGAAGCGACGCCGCGUGUGGGAAGAAGGCCUUCGGGUUGUAAACCACUGUCGGGAGUUAAGAAAUGUAAGGGUGUUAAUAGUAUCCUUACUUGACUAAGGCUCCGGAGGAAGCCACGGCUAACUCUGUGCCAGCAGCCGCGGUAAUACAGAGGCGGCAAGCGUUGUUCGGAAUUAUUGGGCGUAAAGAGCACGUAGGCGGCUGUGUAAGUCGGUUGUGAAAGCCUUCUGCUCAACGGAAGAACAGCAGCCGAUACUGCAUGGCUUGAGUGCGGGAGGGGAGAGCGGAACUUCUGGUGGAGCGGUGAAAUGCGUAGAUAUCAGAAGGAACGCCGGCGGCGAAAGCGACUCUCUGGCCCGUAACUGACGCUGAGUGUGCGAAAGCUAGGGGAGCAAACGGGAUUAGAUACCCCGGUAGUCCUAGCCGUAAACGAUGGGCACUAAGUAGAGGGGUUUU
RNAcentral lists this ribosomal RNA (477 nucleotides) under Candidatus Brocadia fulgida. RNAcentral's name for it is "bacterial SSU rRNA". It matches the Rfam family "Bacterial small subunit ribosomal RNA", at positions 365 to 832 of the family's 1533-position model. Lineage: Bacteria; Pseudomonadati; Planctomycetota; Candidatus Brocadiia; Candidatus Brocadiales; Candidatus Brocadiaceae. The record is from RNAcentral.